This 465-nucleotide ribosomal RNA is filed under the name uncultured bacterium. RNAcentral's name for it is "bacterial SSU rRNA". It matches the Rfam family "Bacterial small subunit ribosomal RNA", at positions 341 to 797 of the family's 1533-position model. The record is from RNAcentral.
CCUGGAGGCAGCAGUGGGGAAUUGUUCGCAAUGGGCGCAAGCCUGACGACGCAACGCCGCGUGGGGGAUGAAGGUCUUCGGAUUGUAAACCCCUGUCGAGCGGGACGAAUGGCCCGCGAUCUAAUACAUCGCGGGAGUGACGGUACCGCUAAAGGAAGCCACGGCUAACUCUGUGCCAGCAGCCGCGGUAAUACAGAGGUGGCAAGCGUUGUUCGGAAUUACUGGGCGUAAAGGGCGCGUAGGCGGCCUUCUAAGUCAGACGUGAAAUCCCCCGGCUCAACCUGGGAACUGCGUCUGAUACUGGGAGGCUUGAAUGCGGGAGAGGGAUGCAGAAUUCCAGGUGUAGCGGUGAAAUGCGUAGAUAUCUGGAGGAAUACCGGUGGCGAAGGCGGCAUCCUGGACCGACAUUGACGCUGAGGCGCGAAAGCUAGGGUAGCAAACGGGAUUAGAUACCCUUGUAGUCAC